RNAcentral lists this ribosomal RNA (254 nucleotides) under uncultured bacterium. RNAcentral describes it as "partial 16S ribosomal RNA". It matches the Rfam family "Bacterial small subunit ribosomal RNA", at positions 524 to 776 of the family's 1533-position model. The record is from RNAcentral.
CACGUAGGGGGCAAGCGUUGUCCGGAUUCAUUGGGCGUAAAGAGCUCGUAGGCGGCUCAGUAAGUCGGGUGUGAAAACUUCAGGCUCAACCUGGAGACGCCACCCGAUACUGCUGUGGCUAGAGUCCAGUAGGGGAGCGUGGAAUUCCUGGUGUAGCGGUGAAAUGCGCAGAUAUCAGGAGGAACACCAGUGGCGAAGGCGGCGCUCUGGGCUGGAACUGACGCUGAGACGCGAAAGCGUGGGGAGCAAACAGG